Long non-coding RNA from Xiphophorus couchianus (Monterrey platyfish), 1785 nucleotides. RefSeq lists it as uncharacterized. NCBI's taxonomy places the organism in Eukaryota, Metazoa, Chordata, Actinopteri, Cyprinodontiformes, Poeciliidae. The record is from RefSeq and is a predicted model, not a curated record. The transcript has 2 exons.
AAGCAUUUAUUAGAAAAUAUGCGAGGCCAAAUAAUACACCAGUAAUUGCCCUUUUCUGUUGUUGUUCUGGGUCUUCUUUGAGGAAAACCACAUUACUAUUAUUCUGCUUCAGUCACUUAAAACAUGAUGCUGAAUGGGACAUUUGGGUCAAACAACUGUUUAAUAGUCAGUGAUUACAACAAACAAAAAACUCCUAUAAGCAUUUCUCCAUAAACUUUAAUGUACAGAACAUCAUAUUCUCAUCACCUCCAUAGUCGGUAAAUAACACCAGAGGGUUGUGUUAUGACACAAGUACAAAAUAAUUACAAUCUAGAUGACAAAAAUAGCAAAAGCUGAUGAAAACCGCAGAAUAAAGGUGAAAUGUCAGUGCUACCAGACGAGACACAUUCUACAUGCAGUGGUCAUAGUGGUUACGUGACCAGAACAUUUGACAAUUUCUCUUUUUUUAUAUGAAAAAACAGCACGAAAGCAAAGAAAAAAAAAACAAAAGCGCUAAUAAGAGUUUAAAACCUUUUUGUUUCUGGAAAUGCUGCUGGAAGACAAAGAGCAGCAUUGCGUUUGUUGCGUUUGUCAAAAAAAAAAAAAACUUAACACCAAAGACGCUCAAUAAAAGUAACAAUUUGGUCACAAUACAAUGACAAGCUGAGAUUGACCCACUUUGCUCGGCUUGUGACCCGUCUGAAUUCACAUCAGUGCACCCUCAGUUGUUUCUUCUGAUCUAAAACUCUUGCGGACUCUCCGUUUGUGUCACUUAGAGGGGAAAAAGUGCCGAUUUGCUUUUGUUUCAAUUAAGAAAAUAACUCACAAAUAAUGGUGUUUCUUUAAGACUAUUCCUGUCACUAUUCAUCAUUUUGAACACAGCGAUCUCAAAUAUUUCAGCUCGUUUGUUAAAUAACGACGGUGCUCAACACAAGUUGACACCAAAAAAUUAUUGUGCUCUGUUGAAAAAUGUUAUGUGGACUAAAUGAUAUAUUCUGUAUUUUGUGCCUUUGUAAUUACAAAUUGUUUUGAGUACAAAUGACUAAUAAAUAAAACCCUUCAGCAGGAUUCACUUAGAGAUACUUUGGUUUGAUCAGGAGUCCAGAUCUCAUAUUUCAUAAGUAGGUCAGCUGGUUCAGAUGUGAAUAGAAACCUAAACAAAUGGAAAUAGGGUGAAAUAUUAAGACCUCAGAAAACAUAAUUAAAUUAUACAGAAUAUUUGAAUUAUUCUUUUUUUGAUUAUUUAUAUUAAAAUUCAUGAGUAUACUUAAGUACAUACAAAAAGAAACUGAUAUGCAAUUGAUUGUUUCUCUGUACAAAAAGGGAAGGGAAGAAAUGAACUUAGAACCUAUACUGUCAAGGGAAAUUUGGAUCAAAUUUCAGUCUGGAUUUGACACAUUUUAUAAAAUUAUAAUGCAAUACAUAUUCCUACAUCAUUUUUAGAUAUCACUAAAGACAAGCAUGAAGAUUUCCCAUGAAUUCUCAAUGCUCAAUUCUUUAUUUGGUCUGUAAAGAUCGUGAUGUUGUCUUAUUCAUGUGGCUUUGUUCAGAUGGCUUUAGCUAACAUGCUUUACCAUGUUAGCAAGGCAACAUAGUAGCAUGUUAGCAUGUGAUUUUUCAGUGCAUUAGUUGGAGUUCUAUAAAAUUUACCUUAUGCAGAAAUUACACCUAAUUUGAAGAUCCGACGGUGACAACAGUUAAAUGUAGAUCUUCUAUUUAGGGCAUCCAGCCUUAAAAAUGACCAAUUUUGACAUUUUUUGUCAGAUUGCAAAUCAAAUUAAACAAAAACUAAAAGUUUUACAAAGU